UCAGAAAAAUAAGCUAUAAAUAAAAUGCAACCGUUUCUAAGCAUUUUAUUUUGGCUUAUGUAUAUUGAAGCAGGUAAAUGUGCUGUUCCGAUGGGUACGACAGAAUGGAAAAAAUACCAUUUGACUGCGACGAAUAAGCAUAAAGUGUUACAACACUUAGUAAUGGGUCCCUCAAAGAAUUUAACAGAGAAGCAAAUCGAGGCAAUGGUAGACAACUGCCAAGGAGUUCACAAAAAAUGUUUCCACGCCGAGGAGUGCUGCACGAUGCAAUGUGUGAAGAGUUACAAUAGAUGUGUGCACUUUUGGACUUGAUUAAAACGAGCUCAUAAAGUGAGUGAAAAAAUAAUAAUAAAAACUAAAGUAUUGAAUAAUUAUAUAUUAAAGUAAAAUAUAAAGUAUGAUAUAUA
This is a long non-coding RNA of Drosophila montana, 407 nucleotides long. RefSeq lists it as uncharacterized. NCBI's taxonomy places the organism in Eukaryota, Metazoa, Arthropoda, Insecta, Diptera, Drosophilidae. The transcript is spliced from 2 exons. The record is from RefSeq and is a predicted model, not a curated record.